UGCAAGUCGAGCGGUAAGGCCCCUUCGGGGGUACACGAGCGGCGAACGGGUGAGUAACACGUGAGCAACCUACCCUCAACUUCGGGAUAAGCCUCGGAAACGGGGUCUAAUACCGGAUAUCACCAGCUUCCUCAUGGUUGUUGGUUGAAAGUUCUGGCGGUUGGGGAUGGGCUCGCGGCCUAUCAGCUUGUUGGUGGGGUAAUGGCCUACCAAGGCGUCGACGGGUAGCCGGCCUGAGAGGGCGACCGGCCACACUGGGACUGAGACACGGCCCAGACUCCUACGGGAGGCAGCAGUGGGGAAUAUUGCGCAAUGGACGAAAGUCUGACGCAGCAACGCCGCGUGAGGGAUGACGGCCUUCGGGUUGUAAACCUCUUUCAGCAGGGACGAAGCGAGAGUGACGGUACCUGCAGAAGAAGGACCGGCCAACUACGUGCCAGCAGCCGCGGUAAUACGUAGGGUCCGAGCGUUGUCCGGAAUUAUUGGGCGUAAAGGGCUCGUAGGCGGUUCGUCACGUCGGGAGUGAAAACUCGGAGCUCAACUCCGAGCCUGCUUCCGAUACGGGCAGACUAGAGGUAGGCAGGGGAGAGCGGAACUCCUGGUGUAGCGGUGGAAUGCGCAGAUAUCAGGAAGAACACCGGUGGCGAAGGCGGCUCUCUGGGCCUUACCUGACGCUGAGGAGCGAAAGCGUGGGUAGCGAACAGGAUUAGAUACCCUGGUAGUCCACGCCGUAAACGUUGGGCGCUAGGUGUGGGGGACAUUCCACGUCCUCCGUGCCGCAGCUAACGCAUUAAGCGCCCCGCCUGGGGAGUACGGCCGCAAGGCUAAAACUCAAAGGAAUUGACGGGGGCCCGCACAAGCGGCGGAGCAUGCGGAUUAAUUCGAUGCAACGCGAAGACCCUUACCUGGGUUUGACAUAUAGGGAAAUCCUCCAGAGAUGGGGGGUCCGUAAGGUCCUAUAC
RNAcentral lists this ribosomal RNA (962 nucleotides) under Kribbella sp. FXJ2.008. RNAcentral describes it as "bacterial SSU rRNA". It matches the Rfam family "Bacterial small subunit ribosomal RNA", at positions 56 to 1035 of the family's 1533-position model. The record is from RNAcentral. Lineage: Bacteria; Bacillati; Actinomycetota; Actinomycetes; Propionibacteriales; Kribbellaceae.